This is a long non-coding RNA of Solanum pennellii, 1449 nucleotides long. RefSeq lists it as uncharacterized. The record is from RefSeq and is a predicted model, not a curated record. The transcript is spliced from 2 exons. NCBI's taxonomy places the organism in Eukaryota, Viridiplantae, Streptophyta, Magnoliopsida, Solanales, Solanaceae.
AGGGUGCUUAACACCUUCCUCUCGAGUAACCAAAAUCCUUACUCAGAAUCUCACUGGUUUCGCAAAGCAAAACCAGAGUUUACAUUUAGUUAAAAAAUGUUUUUCCUAAUAUUUUUCUUAAAAUUUAGGUGGCGACUCUAAAAUAAAACAUAAUUUUCAAAAUUAAAGUGUCAGUCAUAUUAUGUUGUGAACUAUUUCGGCUUAUUCGAAAAUAGGGUGCGACAACAAGUAAGAAAUAAGAAGAAUUCGCAGUAUAUAAUAUCAAUAUGAGAUGAAACUAGGGCAUAUGUGCUCCCCACAAGUUCUUAACGUUGUAAUCCUAAUAAUAAUAACUUUUUCCUAGUGUUAAUCUGCAAAGUCAGUAAGUUAUGUAUCUCCUAAGUAAUUGAUCGUCCAAAUAGGAAAUUUCACCACACAACUUGGUUGGUCUAUGGGUGUGUAAUUUACUAAUCCUUACCCUUGACCUCAAAUUAUCCCUCACGUAUUUGGGUCAGGCUAUUAGAUAGAGACUAAAUCACUGUUGUUUAACCUCUUUCUCACUCAUUAAUUCCUUGGUCGAACAAAUAGGAAUAGGGCGAAUUCUAACGCUGGGCACCAUUAAAUAACAUCCAAAACAAAGAGAAAAACAAUACUUGUAUAAGCACUAUCCCAAAAUGAAUUAAUUAUUAGUUUUGCAUUAUUAAUUACUCAUGGUUCCUACAAACCUAGUUGUAGAUUUAGCUAUUCAUGCUUGAGGAUUCACAAUUCGUAUUAGGGUUAAUAGCACAAAUCAUGAACUUACAAUGGGAAUAGAGAAAUCUUGAAUUUUAAGAACAAAUGCUAAUUUCAUAAAUCGAUCUUUAAGAAUUAAGCUAAAAAUGUUUGCAAAAUAAUUCUCAAAUUCAAAACAUUUUAUCGUAUAAGGUUUACCAACCCAAAAAACAAAAAUUACAUGUAAUAUUUAUAGAAAACAAAUCAUAAAUCGAGUAGGAAAAGGAAGACUAAGAAAAUUCGAUUUGGACAUUGUCGUCUACGGUUGGAGACCAAUGGCUUGUAAGUGUUUUCAUUCAAUAGUUAGUCUCUCGUGUGGAUGAUAAUUUCUACGGGCAUGAUUACGACCUAUAUUGUUCAACUUUCAUUCAAUUAGUGGAGUUGAUUUAUGAACUUUUUCUAAACCGAGCAGGAAAAAGAAGAUUAAAGAAAUUCACUUUGGACAGUGUCAUCUACGGUUGGAGACCUACGACUUGUUCAAGUACUCAAGAUACAAAUCACGCUUAGAUCGAUUCUCGGUCCACAUUUCAGCAGCUUCAAUGGUGAGUCCUCAUACUUUGAGGACAAUAGACAUGCUUUUUCAUUUUAGUCUUUUUAUUCAGUUUUUAGUUUGUAGAAUUAGCUGGGGGGCAUGUCCCAGUAACUCAACUCAAUUAGAGGUUUUUCAGACAUAGUUAUACAAUUAGCUUGAAUUGUUAA